UAGGGCCAUAUCACGUUCAAAAACACGAGUUCUCGUGCGAUCACCGAUGUUAAGCAACGUCGAGCCUAGUCAGUACCUAGAUGGGUGACCACUUGGAAAUAUCAGAUGCUGCAA
Acanthosepion pharaonis is the source of this 114-nucleotide non-coding RNA. NCBI's taxonomy places the organism in Eukaryota, Metazoa, Mollusca, Cephalopoda, Sepiida, Sepiidae. The record is from the annotation of a GenBank genome assembly.